AUUAUCAAACUUACUGUAUUAAUAAAUGUACAAAAACUUAUUAUUUAUUUGUUUCAAAAUAGUUGAACUAAGCAGUAGAUAGACCCUCCUCCCUGACCUUUAAAGUCAUCAGGAAGUUGCUUUUUUAACAGAGAGCUGUGAAAGGUGUUGUGCUUCACUUCUCUUUGAAAAGCCUGAGACAUAGUUGGACUAACUCUGAAGUCAGGAGCUUGAAGCCUCAGCAUGAUGAGCCGUCCACAGAAAUACAUAGAAGCUGGGACCACAUCCUCUGGACGAUGAGCGGAGAGGGAUGAGGGAGUAUGAACUGGUGCUGCGGUUUGGGGAAGGCCUCGAAGGGGACUGGCGACGGCUCGCGGGCCGGGAGGAACCCCAUGGCUAAUGAGAGGUGAAGCUCUUGACUCUCAACAUGCAAAACCUCAGAGUGGCCG
This is a long non-coding RNA of Oreochromis niloticus (Nile tilapia), 428 nucleotides long. RefSeq lists it as uncharacterized. The record is from RefSeq and is a predicted model, not a curated record. NCBI's taxonomy places the organism in Eukaryota, Metazoa, Chordata, Actinopteri, Cichliformes, Cichlidae. The transcript is spliced from 4 exons.